GAUGAAGAACGUAGCGAAAUGCGAUAAGUAAUGUGAAUUGCAGAAUUCAGUGAAUCAUCGAAUCUUUGAACGCACAUUGCGCCCGCCAGUAUUCUGGCGGGCAUGCCUGUUCGAGCGUCAUUUCGACCAUCAAGCCCCAGGCUUGUGUUGGGGACCUGCGGCUGCCGCAGGCCCUGAAAACCAGUGGCGGGCUCGCUGUCACACCGGGCGUAGUAGAUUUUAUCUCGCUCAGGGCGUGCUGCGGGUUCCGGCCGUUAAAAAGCCUUUUUUACCCAAGGUUGACCUCGGAUCAGGUAGGAAGACCCGCUGAACUUAAGCAUAUCAAUAAGCGGAGGA
RNAcentral lists this unclassified non-coding RNA (336 nucleotides) under soil metagenome. RNAcentral's name for it is "partial contains 5.8S ribosomal RNA, internal transcribed spacer 2, and large subunit ribosomal RNA". The stretch from base 1 to 120 matches the Rfam family "5.8S ribosomal RNA", at positions 35 to 154 of the family's 154-position model. The record is from RNAcentral.